AAUUGUGUACAUCUUGCUGCUGUAGCAUUUCAGCUUUUAGAAUGGUGCUGGCAUACAGAAGAGACCAAACAUAUGCUGAUAUAUUCUGACUGCCUCUCUCCAAAAAGUUAAUUGUUCAAAAGCGGUAUUUGAGCUGUGGUGUAUACAUAGCAGCAUUCAACACUAUGGUGGAUAAAGCAAUCAGUGACAUCGACAGUUUCGAGGUGUACUGGUCUCGCAUUUUGUAGACUGUCCCUUCAUUGGGGGUUGUCUGAUAUUUUCCCCAUGAUUAGACUGGAGUUAUGGGUUUUUGGAAGGAAGAUC
Non-coding RNA from Microcebus murinus (gray mouse lemur), 303 nucleotides. The record is from RefSeq and is a predicted model, not a curated record. Lineage: Eukaryota; Metazoa; Chordata; Mammalia; Primates; Cheirogaleidae.